This 253-nucleotide ribosomal RNA is filed under the name uncultured bacterium. RNAcentral's name for it is "partial 16S ribosomal RNA". It matches the Rfam family "Bacterial small subunit ribosomal RNA", at positions 524 to 776 of the family's 1533-position model. The record is from RNAcentral.
UACGUAGGGUGCGAGCGUUAUCCGGAAUUACUGGGUUUAAAGGGUGCGUAGGCGGCUAUGUAAGUCAGGAGUGAAAGUUUGCGGCUCAACCGUAAAAUUGCUUUUGAUACUGCAUGGCUGGAAUUAGGAUGAGGUCAGCGGAAUGUGGCAUGUAGCGGUGAAAUGCAUAGAUAUGCCAUAGAACACCAAUUGCGAAGGCAGCUCGCUACACUAUUAUUGACGCUGAGGCACGAAAGCGUGGGGAUCAAACAGG